RNAcentral lists this ribosomal RNA (449 nucleotides) under uncultured bacterium. RNAcentral's name for it is "partial 16S ribosomal RNA". It matches the Rfam family "Bacterial small subunit ribosomal RNA", at positions 354 to 796 of the family's 1533-position model. The record is from RNAcentral.
GUGGGGAAUAUUGCGCAAUGGGCGAAAGCCUGACGCAGCGACGCCGCGUGAGGGAUGAAGGUUUUCGGAUCGUAAACCUCUGUCAGAAAGGAAGAAACUACAUUGUGCUAAUCAGCAGUGUACUGACGGUACCUUCAAGGAAGCACCGGCUAACUCCGUGCCAGCAGCCGCGGUAAUACGGAGGGUGCCAGCGUUAAUCGGAAUUACUGGGCGUAAAGCGCACGUAGGCUGUAGUGUAAGUCAGGGGUGAAAUCCCACGGCUCAACCGUGGAACUGCCUUUGAGACUGCACAACUUGAAUCCGGGAGAGGGUGGCGGAAUUCCAGGUGUAGGAGUGAAAUCCGUAGAUAUCUGGAGGAACAUCAGUGGCGAAGGCGGCCACCUGGACCGGUAUUGACGCUGAGGUGCGAAAGCGUGGGGAGCAAACAGGAUUAGAUACCCGAGUAGUCC